UACGGGGGGGGUAAGCGUUGUUCGGAAUUACUGGGCGUAAAGGGCUCGUAGGCGGCCAACUAAGUCAUACGUGAAAUCCCUCAGCUUAACUGGGGAACUGCGUGUGAUACUGGAUGGCUUGGAUUUGGGAGAGGGAUGCGGGAUUCCAGGUGUAGCGGUGAAAUGCGUAGAUAUCUGGAGGAACACCGGUGGCGAAGGCGGCAUCCUGGACCAAUAUUGACGCUGAGGAGCGAAAGCUAGGGGAGCAAACGGG
Molecule: ribosomal RNA, 253 nt
Filed under: uncultured bacterium
Lineage: Bacteria
Description: partial 16S ribosomal RNA
Rfam family: Bacterial small subunit ribosomal RNA
Source: RNAcentral